This 333-nucleotide ribosomal RNA is filed under the name uncultured eukaryote. Its description in RNAcentral is "partial 18S ribosomal RNA". It matches the Rfam family "Eukaryotic small subunit ribosomal RNA", at positions 1470 to 1796 of the family's 1831-position model. The record is from RNAcentral.
CCCUUAGAUGUUCUGGGCCGCACGCGCGCUACACUGAUGCAUUCAACGAGUCUAAAACCUGCUCUGAUAGGGGUGGGUAAUCUUUUGAAUGUGCAUCGUGAUUGGGAUAGAUGAUUGAAAUUUUUCAUCUUCAACGAGGAAUGCCUAGUAAACGCAAGUCAUCAGCUUGCAUUGAUUACGUCCCUGCCCUUUGUACACACCGCCCGUCGCUACUACCGAUUGAACGGUUUAGUGAGGGCCUCGGAUUGGUCUCGGCCCGCUCUUUACCGGGCGGCGCCGUUGGUCGAGAAGACGCUCGAACUUGAUCGUUUAGAGGAAGUAAAAGUCGUAACA